CAGUCAUGCUAGUGAAGAAUCAGUUUGACGGGUUUUGAGUUCGGGAGUAGAGGCAGGGUCAAACCGUUUCUCUUUUGAACUUGGGAUUUGUCAGAUGUACUUUUUCUUUGGUCAGGUCAGCGUCGAUUCCGGAGGUUGUAAAAUACUUGGGGGAAAGUAACUCUGCUUCGGGAGAGUAUUAUAGACCCUGGGGGUUGCAGCCUGCGGGAUCGGAGGAUUGCAGCAAAUGCCUUUGGCUUGUCGCCUGAUCUCUGGAUGCUACCUCGCUUGUGACAACAUUCUUGCCAUCUGUGGUACUAAUGCCCAUUACGGUUAGAGCGGU
RNAcentral lists this ribosomal RNA (322 nucleotides) under Diversispora sp. W5257. Lineage: Eukaryota; Fungi; Glomeromycota; Glomeromycetes; Diversisporales; Diversisporaceae. The record is from RNAcentral.